AGCCUCCUUUCCAGACCACAGUUGUGCAAGACGAAGAUAGUGAUGAUUCUGAUGAUCGUGAUGAUCCUAAUCCUGAUGGUUAUCAUAGGUUUUGAUAUUUAGGAACUUUAGAAAAAAAAUUUAGUUAGGUUUUCUUUUUUAAGAACUUUGACACUUAUCAAACUUUGAAGUUAGUAUUUUAGUAUCAAACUUUGUUUUGCAUUUUAAACUUAGAAGUUUGGGAUUGCAUUUUAAACUUUGUUUUGACACUUAUCAUCUUUGGAAACUUAGAAUGAUUGAAGUUUUCUUGAUGAAUGUUGAAUGAUUACAUUUGAAUUGAUGUUUGGAAUUGAUGUUGUCUGGAUAAAUUGAUGUUUGGG
RNAcentral lists this long non-coding RNA (359 nucleotides) under Vigna radiata. RNAcentral's name for it is "long non-coding RNA (VRAD_LNC018487)". The record is from RNAcentral. Lineage: Eukaryota; Viridiplantae; Streptophyta; Magnoliopsida; Fabales; Fabaceae.